Molecule: small RNA, 83 nt
Filed under: Marmota monax (woodchuck)
Lineage: Eukaryota; Metazoa; Chordata; Mammalia; Rodentia; Sciuridae
Source: RNAcentral
GCUGGGUGUGGUGGCGCAUGCCUGUAAUCCCAGCGGUUUAGGAGGCUGAGACAGGAGAAUCUCCAGUUCAAAGCCAGCCUCAG